GAGGUAAGCCUAACUUACAAGACCCCUACAGAGCUUGAGUCAUUCGAGAAGCAGAGGGAGAUCCUUAAGAAAUCUCCAGAGGGAUAACUAAUCAGACCCUCAAAAGAUCAUCGAGAGUGCAAGAUGCUGUAGGCACAAGCUCGUCACUGGCAUAUAUUAUCUCUCGCACGAAGAUGAGAAGUGCUAGAUACAGCAGACACAAGAUCGCCGCAGGCACACAACGCCACUCGUGAGGGCUAACUUAUCAGACCCUCGAGAAGAUCUCGACGACUCCAAGACGGGGCUAACUUGUAAGACCCUUGCAAAGCCUGAGUCAUUCGAGAAGUGGGAGGAGACUCUUAGGAAACCUUCGGAGGGAUAACUAAUCAGGCCCUCAAAAAGCCAUCGAGAGUGCAAGAUGCUGCAGGCACAAGCUCACCGCUGACACACAUUGCCUCUCGCAUAAAGACGAGAAGUGUUAGAUGCUGCAGGCACACAACACCACUCGUGAGGGCUAACUUAUCAGACCUUUGAGAAGACCUCGAUGACUCCAAGGCGGGGCUAACUUACAAGACUUCUGUAGAGUUCGAGUCAUUCGAGAAGUGAGGGGAGACCCUUAGAGAAGCUCUAGAGAGAUAACUAAUCAGACCCUCAAAAGAUCGUCGAGAGUGCAAGAUGUCGCAGGCACAAGCUCACUGCUGGCACAUGUUACCUCACGUGCGAAGAUGAGAAGUGCUAGAUAUCCUAGGCACAAAAUUGCCACAGGCACACGACGUCACUUGUGAGGGCUAACUUAUCAGACCCUCGAGAAGACCUUGACGACUCCAAGGUGGGGCUAACUUACAAGACCUCUGUAGAGCCUGAGUCAUUUG
This 851-nucleotide long non-coding RNA is filed under the name Elaeis guineensis (African oil palm). RNAcentral describes it as "long non-coding RNA (EGUI_LNC021428)". The record is from RNAcentral. Lineage: Eukaryota; Viridiplantae; Streptophyta; Magnoliopsida; Arecales; Arecaceae.